CUGGCUCAGGAUGAACGCUAGCUACAGGCUUAACACAUGCAAGUCGAGGGGCAGCAUGACGAUAGCUUGCUAUUGUGAUGGCGACCGGCGCACGGGUGCGUAACACGUAUCCAAUCUACCCGGGUACUCGGGGAUAGCCUUUCGAAAGAAAGAUUAAUACCCGAUACUGUUGGAUCUCCGCAUCGGACGGUCCAACCAAAGAUUUUCAUCGGUGCCGGAUGAGGAUGCGUCUGGAUUAGGGUAGAUGGCGGGGUAACGGCCCACCAUGCCGACGAUCAGUAGGGUUCUGAGAGGAAGGUCCCCCACAUUGGAACUGAGACACGGUCCAAACUCCUACGGGAGGCAGCAGUGAGGAAUAUUGGUCAAUGGACGCAAGUCUGAACCAGCCAAGUAGCCGUGAAGGACGACGGCCCUACGGGUUGUAAACUUCUUUUUGUACGGGAAUAAAGUGAGGCACGCGUUGCCUUUUUGCAUGUACCGUACGAAUAAGCAUCGGCUAAUUCCGUGCCAGCCGCAGC
RNAcentral lists this ribosomal RNA (518 nucleotides) under uncultured bacterium. RNAcentral's name for it is "bacterial SSU rRNA". It matches the Rfam family "Bacterial small subunit ribosomal RNA", at positions 19 to 518 of the family's 1533-position model. The record is from RNAcentral.